GGUGCAAAGAUCUUAUAAUAACCUUCAAAACACUGUGAGCUUUUUAUAAAUAGACAAAAAAUUAAUAAUUUCGAAUUUUUAUUUUCUAUCUAAAACAUUUCAGACAUCCAUUUUUGUGACAGCUACAUAUUCCGUUUCUCACCAAGAAGCUGCUCAUUUGGAAUGGCCGAUAUCGGACCACUAUAGCAUAUAGCUGCCAUACAAACAAUCGGAAUCAAGUUGUUGUAUGGAAAUCUUUUUCAUUUCACGAGGAAAUGUUCAUGAAAUUCGGAACGAAUUAUUAUCUAAAACAAUAAUGAAAUCUCUGAAGAAGUUAUAUUGCUGUCAUACAAGCUAAACGAUCGGCAUCAAGUUCUUCUGAGCUUACAUCACAUAUAUGUACGUUUCUUACAUCGUAAACGUGUGUGUGUGGAGAAAUAACUUUCAAACCUCAGCGUCGUGAUUUCACGUUAUUAAUUGAAGAGUGUUAUUUAGACUAUUUUGGAUUUCCUGUGAGCAAUUUUAGUGAAUCCUGGGUUCCACAUAAUUGUUAUGCAAAGUGUGUGAAACUGCUAUUAAGUUGGUCUAAACAAGAACCGAGACAUAUGCCAUUUGCUAUAUCAAUGAUUUGGACCGAACUGAAGUAUCAUUCCAAGCCUUUCAGUGAGCCCUGAUGACAAUCUUUCACCACCAUUGCUCAUAAAGCUCGGCAUGAUAAAAAAUUUUGUAAAAGCUAUGUCUAGAGAUGGCAGUAGAAUUGUGUAUCUAAAAGAGAAACUCUUUAAUAGUGAAGCGCUAUCAAAGGAAAUAGAGCUCAGUGCUCUUGAUUAUUGUUAAAGAUUUAAAAAAAACCUUUCAGAGGCCAAACAAUCACAAAAAUUAUAAGUAUUUUUUCUAAAUUAAGCAACAUUUUCUUUAAAUGUGGCUGAUGUUUCUGUCUUUUAAGAUAAUAUACUUGUAUGUUUUGAUGUCACAAGAAAACCGAACUUAUAAAUUUUUUUCAUUCACAUAAUAUUGUUUAAUGGCCCUAGUAAGUUUGUUAACCGGUGUUAUUAGAAGCAAUGAAAAGUUAGCUCUAUAGAUUGUGAUAUCUCAGCAAGUUUGUUUAAGAUUUUAUCAACCUCAAAGAUCAGAAAUUUAUAAUAGAAUACUGGUAGAUGGCACUAAUAUCGUUAGUAAAUAAAUCGGAUGACCGAGACUAUAGGAACUAUAAAACAUAUACAAUAAUAAUGACUAAGAUAGUACAUUACUUUGAUUAUUUGCUAGGGGAUUACCAUUAUUUUUUCAAUAAUUAUAUUUCUUCUAACCUCUUCAUGUUGACACAACUUCAGUAAAUGUGUCAGAAAUCACACUCAAAAUAUCAUGCAAGACGUGAAAUGAGAGAAAGAGUAAAUGAAUGGCGCCUAAAACAAGUAAAAUAUUACCGUUAGAAAAACUAAAAAAAGAAGCCUCAGUUAGUGUAUACGGAGCAAGUAAGCCGCUUAUUCUAUAAAUAUGUCACCUAACCUUAAGUAUGAGGGCGUAAUCGUCGUUCACGACGCACCGAAGACAUUGUGUUCGCGGCAAAUUUUAUAUGCAUAAGCCCCUCGACUUAUAAUACUAAUAUACAAUACCAAUUGCACAAUGAACGCAUACAAUAAUUGAAAAGGCGUCGCUCUUUCACUCAUAAUAUUUCUAUUAUAUCCACAUGUGUUUUCUUGUUUUCCACUUGCUGCUUAUUGACGUUACUUUUUUAUGACCUAAACAAGUCGUUUUAUACUGCUGCUAAGUAUCUAGUUGUUUGGACCAAAGGUUAAAUAUGUAUGUAUACUUACAUACAUAGAAAAUGUAUAAAACGUCGCGAGUAAGAACUUGAAGUAUACUUUCAAGCGCUCACACAUGCGUAUUGUUUGAGGAAGC
This is a long non-coding RNA of Bactrocera oleae (olive fruit fly), 1878 nucleotides long. RefSeq lists it as uncharacterized. The record is from RefSeq and is a predicted model, not a curated record. Lineage: Eukaryota; Metazoa; Arthropoda; Insecta; Diptera; Tephritidae.